This is a non-coding RNA of Cinara cedri, 426 nucleotides long. The record is from the annotation of a GenBank genome assembly. Lineage: Eukaryota; Metazoa; Arthropoda; Insecta; Hemiptera; Aphididae.
UUAGUUUUGUUACAUAUUUAAUUUACUGCGUAUUUUUGAAGAAGGUUUUUGAGUAUUAUUGUUUAAUAUAGCAUUCCGUUAGUAGUUUUUAUUGUUGUGUACGAUUUGAGAAAAAACAAAAAAAAAAAGAAUGCCGAUCACUGGUCAAGUGUGUAUGUCGACUUAUUGGUCCGAUAGGGAAAAUAUAUCCGACUGUUUAAGAACAUUAUGUUUUCAAUCAAACCGACUAACCGACAUUAUUGGACAAUAUUUUCUGUAAUAAAAUUUGUUUAAUUAUUGUAUCGAUUUUCCCGUUUUUGUAAAGUUGUUCACAAUUGCUGAGAAAAUUCUUAAGAAAACUAAAAAAUCACCUCCUUAAAGUCCACCUUCGCAGUCAUAUUUCCUUUAAGAAAAAGUGCUAUCAUAGUAAAUCGGAGCAAAAUUCCU